GGAAAUGCCAUUGAAAACACUGCACUGCCUAUGAUUUAUCUUAUAGCAAGUCCUGCCUUUAAGAAAUUAACAUUACACUGAAGGCUUCUACUUCCAUAAUUUGGGAGAAUAAGCAUUCUAUGGUUAUUGAGAAGCAGCAAGCAAUAGUGAAGAGAUAUAGAAGUAAUUGGGUUCUGAGUACUUUGUCAUAGAGCUCAGUAUCUGCAUGGAAAUAUAAUAAAAGGGCCGAAAAAGGGUAUCCAAUGGCAUUUCAGACAUGAGUAGUCAUCAUAACUUCAUACUCUCUCCGUGGCAUUUCACCUGCCAAAGAUCUCCUUGGGACCAGAUUCCAUUCUCAGCCUAGAACAUGCUUGCUGGAAGGAACCAUGCUUUGUUCAUGGUCUCUCACCGGGCCUGACGCUGAAGUCUUUGCUCUUCUCCUUGCAACAAACUUUCCUCCUUUGACAGCAGAUCCAUGCUGGUUUGUUUGGUCAGCUUGUAUUUGGGCUAGUUCUGUGGGGCACGGCUCUUCUUCUAUUAGAUGCUUGUGA
This 530-nucleotide long non-coding RNA is filed under the name Zalophus californianus (California sea lion). RNAcentral describes it as "lncRNA (ENSZCAG00015000494.1)". Lineage: Eukaryota; Metazoa; Chordata; Mammalia; Carnivora; Otariidae. The record is from RNAcentral.